Molecule: ribosomal RNA, 1797 nt
Filed under: activated sludge metagenome
Description: bacterial LSU rRNA
Rfam family: Bacterial large subunit ribosomal RNA
Source: RNAcentral
AACUAGGGGUGAAAGGUCAAUCAAACUGGGAGAUAGCUUGUUUUCUACGAAAUUUAUUGAAGUAAAGUGUUGAAUUAUGUGAGUAGUUGGGGUACAGUUCUUAUUUAUUAAUACAGUCUAAACAACUGUCAGAGGUGUGUAAAUCGUGGAAUACAUCUACUUAUAAAUUUAAUAAUCGGACUAUGGGGGCUAAGCUCCAUGGUCGAGAGGGAAACAGCCCCGAUCAUCUAUUAAAGUUCUAAAUUAAUCUCUGAGUGGAAAGUUGUUAUCUGUACUUCACAAUCAAAAGGUAGGCUUGGAAGCAGCCGUCCUUUAAAUAAAGCGUAAAAAAUAAUUUGGCUAGUGUAUGGAUAAGCAUCGAAAAUAUAGUGGAACUAAGAGAUUAACUGAAAUAGUGAAUUGUUUUUGGUUUAUUGUGAAAUAUCAAUAAGAUCAAAAUAAAUGGUAGUAGAAUGUUCUAUAGAAUUGAGAAUUGCCAUUGUUAAAUGGUGAAGAAUUAUUAGAAGCAAGAAUGCUGAGAUGAGUAACGAUAAAUAAAGGUUUAAUGUCUUUAUCAUUGUAAAUCUACGAUUUUCGCCGCGCUAGUUUAUAGCGGCGAGUGAAGCGAUCACUAAGCAUUUGAUGCGAAUUAAAUGUGAGUGUGUCCUUUGAAAAGUUAGUGAUAAGUAAAAUUAUCAAGAACCGGGAAAAAUAGAAGGGUGAUCGUAUUAUAUUACUGACACAGGUAGAUUGGUAUAAAUGUACUAAAAUGUGGGAGAAGGGUGUUUAAGGAACUCGGCAAAAUAACUCUGUAACUUCGGGAGAAGGGGGGUUUUGUACUUUAAUUAAAGUAUGAAAUAGCAUAAAAUUGUAGGUAGCGACUGUUUCUUAAAAACACAGGACAUUGCUAAAUGUAUAGAUGAAGUAUUAUGUCUGAGGCCUGCCCGGUGCAGUAUGACUAAAAGGAGAAGUGAAAGCUUCGAAUUUAUCUCUCUGUAAACGGCGGCUGUAACUCUAACGGUCCUAAGGUAGCGAAAUUCCUUGUCGGGUAAGUUCCGACGCGCAUGAAAGGCAUAACGGCUUCCUAACUGUCUCAAACACCUACCCAGUGAAAUUGGAGUUGGAGUGAAGAUACUCUUAAAGUUUCGAUAGACGGAAAGACCCUAUGCAGCUUUACUAUGUUCAAAUUUUGCAUUCUAUGAAUAACCAUGUAGCAUAUGUGGGACUUUAGAUCACCUUCUUUGGAAUUGUGAUUAAGGAUCUGUGAAAUACCCUUGUUUUAUUUGUAGGUGCUAUACUGAUUCAAAAUGAAUUGGGACAGAAUGUGAGUGGUAGUUUGACUGGGGCGGUCUCCUCCUAUAUAGUAACGGAGGAGUGCAAUGAUAGGUUCUAAUUUGGCUUGACUAAGUUAGUGAGCAUAAUGGUAAAAAUCUAUUUGAUUUGAGGACAAACAAGUUCUCUAAGAAUGACCUAUUAUGAAAAUAAUAUGUUGUUUGUCAUAGUGAUCCGGUGGUUUUGUAUGGAAAAGCCAUCGCUCAACGGAUAAAAGCUACGCUAGGGAUAACAGGCUGAUAAUGCAUGAGAGUUCAUAUCGAUUGCGUUGUUUGGCACCUCGAUGUCGGCUCAUCCUUUCCUGCGGUUGGAAAAGAUCGCAAGGGUUUAGCUGUUCGCUAAUUAAAAGGGUACGUGAGCUGGGUUUAAAACGUCGUGAGACAGUUUGGUCCCCAUCUUCGAAAUUUGAAAGAAUUGAAAGAUUUCUUCUCUAGUACGAGAGGGCCGAGAAGAAGUAACCUCUGAUCUUUUAGUUGUUUGCUUGAG